GGAGUUAGCCGGUGCUUCUUCUGCGAGUAACGUCACAGAUGUAAGGUAUUAACUUACACCCUUCCUCCUCGCUGAAAGUGCUUUACAACCCGAAGGCCUUCUUCACACACGCGGCAUGGCUGCAUCAGGGUUUCCCCCAUUGUGCAAUAUUCCCCACUGCUGCCUCCCGUAGGAGUCUGGGCCGUGUCUCAGUCCCAGUGUGGCUGAUCAUCCUCUCAGACCAGCUAGGGAUCGUCGCCUAGGUGAGCCUUUACCUCACCUACUAGCUAAUCCCACCUGGGCUUAUCCAUCAGCGCAAGGCCCGAAGGUCCCCUGCUUUCCCCCGUAGGGCGUAUGCGGUAUUAGCAGUCGUUUCCAACUGUUAUCCCCCACAAAUGGGCAAAUUCCCAGGCAUUACUCACCCGUCCGCCGCUCGUCAUCUUCAAAAGCAAGCUUUUGAAAUGUUACCGCUCGACUUGCAUGUGUUAGGCCUGCCGCCAGCGUUCAAUCUGAGCCAGAAUCGAACCCUGA
This 510-nucleotide ribosomal RNA is filed under the name uncultured bacterium. RNAcentral describes it as "partial 16S ribosomal RNA". The record is from RNAcentral.